RNAcentral lists this transfer RNA (65 nucleotides) under Pyrrhopeplus carduelis. RNAcentral's name for it is "tRNA-Leu". It matches the Rfam family "tRNA". From Rfam's summary of the family: Transfer RNA (tRNA) molecules are approximately 80 nucleotides in length. Their secondary structure includes four short double-helical elements and three loops (D, anti-codon, and T loops). The record is from RNAcentral. Lineage: Eukaryota; Metazoa; Arthropoda; Insecta; Hemiptera; Pyrrhocoridae.
UCUAAUAUGGCAGAAUAGUGCAAUGAAUUUAAGAUUCAUAUAUAAAGAUCCAUCUUUUAUUAGAA